This 1809-nucleotide long non-coding RNA is filed under the name Homo sapiens (human). The record is from RNAcentral. Lineage: Eukaryota; Metazoa; Chordata; Mammalia; Primates; Hominidae.
GGCAUUCCCUGGGGCGGCGGGGUUGGCUCUAACGAAUUUGAAUGAGGAGCCUCAGCGCUUUCGGCGCCAUUUUCGAGUGAUGCCUGAUCUCAUCAAUCUAGCGGGAGAGACAGGAUAACCUGUCCGAGAGUAUAGCGCCACUAUGACUCCGCCGGAAAAAUUACUUUAAAAAUCGCCAAAAAUUACUUGGAGCAAAGGGCAGUCGGCGGAGCUUCGCCAAGGCUGGCGCAGUCGGUUUUGACCUGUAGCAGAGAACCAAUUCUGGAGAACAGCCUCACUUCUUUGAUUGAAUACUUACAUAAUGCAUUGGAACAUGACAUGAGAUUAAGGUUUAAUAAUGAUAGAAUGAAGACCACAAUAAAAGAGACCUCUACUUAGCUCAGCAAUUCUUACCUUUCUUACCUAUUUGAUGAAGAUGUCUUUUGAAAGGUGUACUGCAAGGAACAAAAUGUUUGUAAAUUCUCCUUUUACCAAGGUGGAUAAUUACUGUACCUUCCUCAUGGAAAAAGUUUUAUUUAAAGUGUUAUUUCUCAUUGAAUACUAUCAAAAAGGAAAAAAAAAUGACCUAAACUUUUGAGAUAGAUUUGGCUCUAGUAAGUAUUUAGUUAUAUCACUUGCAUAUCUGGGAGAAGAAAUAAGAGACUAUCAUCAGUACAUUCCCAUCUACUAAAAAAAUUUAUUUUACACAUGUCAAGGGAUUACUUAUAACUUCCAUUUUAUUACUAAUAGCUUGAACCCUUUUAAUGAAGACCUAACUCCUCCACCAGAAAUUUAAGUUUAUGUUCUUACUUUGUUUACUUAUAAAAUACAUCUCAGGUAUUUCGGAUGUCUUUUUUUUUUCUAAGCCUAUAUGAAAUGAAAAAUAUAUUGGCAAAAUAAAUGUUUAAACCUUUUACGUUAAAAUUACUUUGAAAGAUGAAAAGUUAGUGCUGUUUUUGUCUACGUUAUACUGAAAUUAAAUGUUUAUAAUUUAUAUUUUGGGUUUAUGUAUAAAUCAUGGAAUUUAUGCAAAAAUAUGAGUAGUACAGAUUCUCCUCUAAUUCUGUAGGACUUUGAAUAAUGUGAUAUUUUUCUUAUAAUUGGACCCUUGUGUUUUGAAGAAAUGCCAACUGCUUGAAGAAUCUCCUUGUUAUUUGUAUUAUUUGCUAUAGGGUUAGAUGUUGAGAAAUUCUGCUGACAAAAAAUUUUAAGCCAGUUUUACACUAAAUGUUCCUCAGUCUGAUUAAUUUGUUAUUGGAUGUAUUCUGUAUCUUUCUUUUGUAAUUUGUAACUUUUAUCCACUUAGCACGAAUGAUUCUAUUAAAGAAAAUCAUUAGGAAGUGGUAGAAACUUUAAAUCGCCCCAGAGUUUGCCUGUUUCCAUAUUUUAUUAUCUUAUAAUCUUCGGGAGUGCUUACACUUAUGGAGCUAACAUUUUCAGAGAUACAGCUUCUUAUAGUAACACUAAAACUUUCUUCCUCUUUGGACUGAAUACCUAUAAUUAUAACUAUAUGGUAGUUUAAGUUUCCUUGUGAUUAGUCAAAAAUACCAUUUUAGUAUGAAGCAAUGAAGUCUAUUAUUUGUUGUCCCAUAAUUGAGAAAGCUUAAAUACACCUUUUAUUAAGAGUUUGUAAAUUCUAGCUUAGUCUACACAGAUUUUUAUAUCAAUUUGUUUAUAUUUUUAUUAAUGUCAUUUCUGGAAGUGUGAAAAUGUUAAUGUUCAACAAGCAACAUUAAAAAUAGAUUUGAAACAUUUAUAUAUAGAGAGGUACACAUUUAUUUACUGUUUAGGUACUGAAGAUUAUCACUUAAUAAAAAAUAUAUAUCCCAG